GACGAACGCUGGCGGCGUGCUUAACACAUGCAAGUCGAGCGGUAAGGCCCUUUCGGGGGUACGACGAGCGGCGAACGGGUGAGUAACACGUGGGUGACCUGCCCUCAGCUCUGGGAUAAGCCUGGGAAACCGGGUCUAAUACUGGAUAUGACUCCAUGACGCAUGUUGGUGGGGUGGAAAGCCUUGUGCGGCUGAGGAUGGGCCCGCGGCCUAUCAGCUUGUUGGGUGGGGUGANGGCCUACCAAGGCGACGACGGGUAGCCGGCCUGAGAGGGCGACCGGCCACACUGGGACUGAGACACGGCCCAGACUCCUACGGGAGGGCAGCAGUGGGGAAUCUUGCGCAAUGGGCGAAAGCCUGACGCAGCGACGCCGCGUGA
RNAcentral lists this ribosomal RNA (379 nucleotides) under uncultured bacterium. RNAcentral describes it as "bacterial SSU rRNA". It matches the Rfam family "Bacterial small subunit ribosomal RNA", at positions 28 to 404 of the family's 1533-position model. The record is from RNAcentral.